Austrofundulus limnaeus is the source of this 280-nucleotide long non-coding RNA. RefSeq lists it as uncharacterized. Lineage: Eukaryota; Metazoa; Chordata; Actinopteri; Cyprinodontiformes; Rivulidae. The transcript is spliced from 3 exons. The record is from RefSeq and is a predicted model, not a curated record.
GUUUUGUGGCACUGCCUUCCUUUCUGCUAACUUACCAUCACUUUGACCAAUCCAUCGGAAGGAUGAAGUGUACCUUGGCAUUCCUUGUGUUGUCCAUGGUUGCCCUCAUGGCUCAACCAAGCCAAGGAUUUUUGCAUCUAGCUUUGGGAGCUGCUAAACUUCUUGGCGAUCUGUUUGGCAGGAAAAAGGCUGAAUUUGCGGAAAAACAAGCUGACCAGCAGCAGAUGGACCAGCAGCAGAUGGACCAGCAGCAGAUGGACCAGCAGCAGAUGGACCAGCA